AUGAAUAAUAACCGAACUUGCUCUUCUUUGAGCAAUUUGGCUCAGGGCGCAGAUUUCUGCCUUUCCCACUCUCAGGCUCGAACCCCGUCCAGCCGGCUUCGGCAAAGCACGUGUACAAACUGCUCCGUUAAAAAUAAAAGACCCCCCUUCCUCUUGCUGAUGACCGGGUUCCUGUUUGAUCCUGUUUACAAGCUUCCCAAGACUGAAAAUAACCCCAGCUCCUCUGCACUGGCGCUUGGAAGCAGAAGGAAGCAAAGAGGAGUUGAGAACUGAAGCUGGGAGACUUGGCAGCUAAUUCAGAGGCACAAUUGUGUGAGCAGCCCCUUGGCAAGAGGACCCAGUGCAGCCUGUGACAGAACUGAGUGGAGAUGAUCCCAAGCUGAGAGUCACAACAGGAUCUGCUUUGAGUUCACCCAGCGACCUGCAGGCUCAUCCAGCACCCAGCACAGGUAAGAGAUCUCCACAGAACCUGCAUUCCCCAGGUGUUGUAGCAUCCCAGCCAUAACCCCUGCUCUGCAGUGC
RNAcentral lists this long non-coding RNA (522 nucleotides) under Zonotrichia albicollis (white-throated sparrow). Its description in RNAcentral is "lncRNA (ENSZALG00000010427.1)". The record is from RNAcentral. Lineage: Eukaryota; Metazoa; Chordata; Aves; Passeriformes; Passerellidae.